This 531-nucleotide ribosomal RNA is filed under the name uncultured Thermomicrobium sp. RNAcentral's name for it is "bacterial SSU rRNA". It matches the Rfam family "Bacterial small subunit ribosomal RNA", at positions 37 to 580 of the family's 1533-position model. The record is from RNAcentral. Lineage: Bacteria; Pseudomonadati; Thermomicrobiota; Thermomicrobia; Thermomicrobiales; Thermomicrobiaceae.
UGGCGGCGUGCUUUAUGCAUGCAAGUCGAACGAGAAGGGUCUGGCUUCGGCCGGGCCCGGAGAGUGGCGAACGGGUGAGUAACACGUGAGUGACCUGCCCCGGGCAGGGGGAUAACCAUGGGAAACGAUGGCUAAUACCCCGUAGUCCUGGCCGUAUUGGAAACGGUUAGGUAUAGCUCCGGCGGCCCGGGAGGGGCUCGCGGUUGAUUAGCUGGUUGGUGGGGUAAUGGCCUACCAAGGCAACGAUCGAUAGCUGGUCUGAGAGGACGAUCAGCCACACUGGGACUGAGAUACGGCCCAGACUCCUACGGGGGGCAGCAGCAAGGAAUAUUGGACAAUGGGCGCAAGCCUGAUCCAGCAACGCCGCGUGGAGGAUGACGGCCCUUGGGUUGUAAACUCCUUUUGUGUGGGAUGAGACAAGGACAGUACCACACGAAUAAGUCACGGCUAACUAGGUGCCAGCAGCCGCGGUAACACCUAGGUGACAAGCGUUAUCCGGAUUUACUGGGCGUAAAGGCUUCGAAGGCCGCC